UGGGGAAUAUUGCACAAUGGGCGCAAGCCUGAUGCAGCCAUGCCGCGUGUAUGAAGAAGGCCUUCGGGUUGUAAAGUACUUUCAGCGGGGAGGAAGGCGAUGUGGUUAAUAACCGCGUCGAUUGACGUUACCCGCAGAAGAAGCACCGGCUAACUCCGUGCCAGCAGCCGCGGUAAUACGGAGGGGGCAAGCGUUAAUCGGAAUUACGGGGCGUAAAGCGCACGCAGGCGGUCUGUCAAGUCGGAUGUGAAAUCCCCGGGCUCAACCUGGGAACUGCAUCCGAAACUGGCAGGCUUGAGUCUCGUAGAGGGGGGUAGAAUUCCAGGUGUAGCGGUGAAAUGCGUAGAGAUCUGGAGGAAUACCGGUGGCGAAGGCGGCCCCCUGGACGAAGACUGACGCUCAGGUGCGAAAGCGUGGGGAGCAAACA
This 427-nucleotide ribosomal RNA is filed under the name uncultured bacterium. RNAcentral describes it as "partial 16S ribosomal RNA". It matches the Rfam family "Bacterial small subunit ribosomal RNA", at positions 355 to 774 of the family's 1533-position model. The record is from RNAcentral.